UUUCCGUAGGUGAACCUGCGGAAGGAUCAUUAUUGAAAUAAACCUGAUGGGUUGUUGCUGGUUCUCUAGGGAGCAUGUGCACGCCUUGUCAUCUUUAUAUCUCCACCUGUGCACUUUUUGUAGACCCUUCCAGGUCUAUGUUGCUUCAUUUACCCCCAAUGUAUGUUAAUAGAAUGUUGUGCCUAUAUAAUAUAUACAACUUUCAGCAACGGAUCUCUUGGCUCUC
RNAcentral lists this unclassified non-coding RNA (226 nucleotides) under plant metagenome. RNAcentral describes it as "partial contains small subunit ribosomal RNA, internal transcribed spacer 1, and 5.8S ribosomal RNA". The record is from RNAcentral.